CCUCCAGCCAGCAUAAUUUUGUCCUGCAGGCUUGGCAGGGAGGAGGAGGAAUGCCUCCUGGCUUUAUCAAACCAAAUUGCACUGAUCUGCUCUGACAAGGUCUGGGCACCUUCCUUGGAAGAAAUGAAGCCUGGGAGAAACUACAGAGGAAGAAGGCAACAGGAGUUAAGAAGGGGAGAGCAGAUGGACCAGCCCCCAUGUACUCCUCUAGUUAGGGCAGCAACAGGACUUUGGUCACAAGUAGCAGAACAGUAAGACAUUAGAAGCCUGUCUCCAGUGCUGAGGUGUUUUUCCCUGGGUAACAAGUGUGUGAUUAUUUCUUUAUUUUACUUUUAGCAUGUUUUCCAUGUUUCUAGUAAAACCUCUUGGCAACGGAA
This is a non-coding RNA of Lonchura striata (white-rumped munia), 377 nucleotides long. The record is from RefSeq and is a predicted model, not a curated record. NCBI's taxonomy places the organism in Eukaryota, Metazoa, Chordata, Aves, Passeriformes, Estrildidae.